Molecule: unclassified non-coding RNA, 329 nt
Filed under: soil metagenome
Description: partial contains 5.8S ribosomal RNA, internal transcribed spacer 2, and large subunit ribosomal RNA
Rfam family: 5.8S ribosomal RNA (bases 1-120)
Source: RNAcentral
GAUGAAGAACGUAGCGAAAUGCGAUAAGUAAUGUGAAUUGCAGAAUUCAGUGAAUCAACGAAUCUUUGAACGCACAUUGCGCCCCUUGGUAUUCCGAGGGGCAUGCCUGUUCGAGCGUCAUUUCAACCCUCAAGCACAGCUUGGUCUUGGGCUUCGCCGCUAACCCGGCGGGUCUUAAAAUCAGUGGCGGUGCCGUCGGGCCCUGAGCGCGGUAAUUUCUCUCGCUAUAGGGUCCCGGCGGAUGCUGGCCAGUAACCCCCAAUUUUCUAUGGUUGACCUCGGAUCAGGUAGGGAUACCCGCUGAACUUAAGCAUAUAAUAAGCGGAGGA